CUCUUUUAGUAGUUUUAGUGUCACUUAGCAUAGCUUCUGAAAGCUCAGCAAAUUAUCAAUACUCAUCUCCUCCUCCACCAGUGCAUGUCUAUCCAUCACCACCCCAUCACCCUGUAUAUAAGUCUCCACCACCACCUAAGAAGCCCUACCACCCUUCACCAACCCCAUAUCAUCCUGUACCCGUUUAUAAAUCUCCACCCCCACCAACUCCAGUUUACAAGUCGCCACCACCACCCAAGAAGCCACAAUAUCCUCCACACAUCCCGGUUUAUAAGUCGCCACCACCACCAACUCCCGUUUACAAGUCACCACCACCACCCAAGAAGCCACACUACCCUCCACACAUCCCUGUUUAUAAGUCACCACCACCGCCCAAGAAGCCAUACUAUCCUCCACAUACUCCAGUUUACAAGUCGCCACCACCACCAACUCCGGUUUACAAGUCACCACCGCCACCCAAGAAACCAUACUAUCCUCCACACAUCCCUGUUUACAAAUCUCCACCACCACCUACUCCAGUUUACAAGUCGCCACCACCACCCAAGAAGCCAUACUACCCUCCACACACCCCGGUUUAUAAGUCUCCACCACCACCAACUCCUGUUUACAAGUCACCACCACCACCCAAGAAGCCAUACUAUCCUCCACACACACCAGUUUACAAGUCGCCACCACCACCUACUCCCGUUUACAAGUCACCACCACCACCAACACCCGUUUACAAGUCACCACCACCACCUAAGAAGCCACACCAUCCUUCACCAACCCCAUAUCAUCCUGCACCAGUUUACAAGUCCCCACCACCACCUAAGAAGCCAGACCACCCUUCACCAACACCGUAUCAUCCUGCACCAGUUUACAAAUCCCCACCGCCACCUACUCCAGUUUACAAGUCACCACCACCUUCAGUGAAGCCAUACCAUCCUUCACCAACACCAUAUCAUCCUGCACCAGUUUAUAAGCCUCCACCACCACCAACUCCUGUCUACAAGUCACCUCCACCACCAACUCCAGUCUACAAGUCUCUACCACCGCACCACCCCUAUCUUUACACUUCUCCUCCUCCUCCCUACCAUUACUAAGAAGUGUCAUCGCAAAGUUGAAGG
RNAcentral lists this long non-coding RNA (1106 nucleotides) under Nicotiana benthamiana. RNAcentral's name for it is "long non-coding RNA (NBEN_LNC005959)". The record is from RNAcentral. Lineage: Eukaryota; Viridiplantae; Streptophyta; Magnoliopsida; Solanales; Solanaceae.